UGGGGAAUCUUCCGCAAUGGGCGAAAGCCUGACGGAGCAAUGCCGCGUGAGUGAAGAAGGCCUUCGGGUUGUAAAACUCUGUCCUUAUCGAAGAGAGGUGGGUAUGUGAAUAAUGUACCUAUAGGACGGUAGAUAAGGAGGAAGCCCCGGCUAACUACGUGCCAGCAGCCGCGGUAAUACGUAGGGGGCGAGCGUUGUCCGGAAUCACUGGGCGUAAAGGGCGCGUAGGCGGUUUAAUAAGUCAGUGGUGAAAACUGAGGGCUCAACCCUCAGCCUGCCACUGAUACUGUUAGACUUGAGUAUGGAAGAGGAGAAUGGAAUUCCUAGUGUAGCGGUGAAAUGCGUAGAUAUUAGGAGGAACACCAGUGGCGAAGGCGAUUCUCUGGGCCAAGACUGACGCUGAGGCGCGAAAGCGUGGGGAGCAAACAGGAUUAAUACCCC
RNAcentral lists this ribosomal RNA (441 nucleotides) under uncultured bacterium. RNAcentral describes it as "bacterial SSU rRNA". It matches the Rfam family "Bacterial small subunit ribosomal RNA", at positions 355 to 787 of the family's 1533-position model. The record is from RNAcentral.